Long non-coding RNA from Gasterosteus aculeatus aculeatus (three-spined stickleback), 1967 nucleotides. The record is from Ensembl. Lineage: Eukaryota; Metazoa; Chordata; Actinopteri; Perciformes; Gasterosteidae.
CAUACAUGGAGCACCAUCGCCGACCCCCAUGAGAAAAGGCGAUGAAACAUCCCCCCUCAGCAGUUUAAAAGAGAACUGCAGUUUCCAUAGGAACAGAUCUAAAAGCAAUUAGAUGUGACGCGCAGAAUGAGGCUUGAUGAGCCAUCAUUCCGGAAUGGCCCUCGAAAUUCCAUCUGAGACGCUCUCCACGACCCCCCCCCCGCUUCCCCCCCACCACCCUUCUCAUUUUGUUCUUUUCAUUGCUUGUGUUUCUCAUUUCCUCCUCCUCACCAGAUGCUAGUUUAAAGCGGGCCUACUGCAUGAAUCUCAUCUUUACAUCAUGAGGGUCCUAUUACUCCUCUGAUCAGCAGGCGUCACAGUAGAGAUCGAUUGACACCGCCUCGUUCUCCGAAAAAAGAAGGACGGGGCAGCGAGGAUGGGCCGCAGAGGCAAACACAGAGAUGAGUUUUGGCAAGGAAAUCCAUGGAAGGCAUUAGGGAAAAAAUAAAAAAGAAGAGGGCAGAGGGGGGGAGGAAGCCGACCAUUUGAAGAAGGACGGGCAGAUGGGGAAGUGGAGGCGGGAAGGAGAUGUAGUGAUCGGUGACCCUGCCUCGGGGCUGAAGUCCACGCUCCAUUAAAGAUAAUUUGCAUAAUGUUCCUCUUGGCUCAUUAAAGAUGAGCAGAGGUUCAAGCUACAUUCUGCCAGGUGAUACAUGUGAUGGCAUCCUCCUCCACCCCCACCUCCAUUCCAUCUCCGCCCUCCAUCUUCGCUCCUCAGCCCUCCCACGCUCCUCCUCUACGACCCUCCUCUGCUCUGCCUAUCAAAAAACGCAUAAGAGAGAUAAAGGGAAAAUCCGACAGUCUGCAUCCCACUCCACCUCUCAUCCAUCAUAGAUAAAUGCUUCCCUUCAUCAUUGAGCUGUCACCCCCCUUUUCAUUUGAUAGUACAUAUGUUCUGCCUCCCCUCCCCCGGGGCAUAUCGCUUGCUCUGGGCUCAGGAAUUAAUGCACGUCGGCAGCAGUUUGCUUAAGUACGCAUCUUUCUUGGAAGGAAUGAAUGGAUUUGAUCUCUAUUUUUGGCCCCUCCUUCUUCCUGUUAAAACUGACAGUGGCCCCUUCAUCGGUGCAAAACGCCACCAGCAGAUGGUCAGAAUGUGGAUAAACAGCUGCUUUGCUGUGUUUGCAGCAUACACCUUAUCUGGGCAUGUUUUGCUGCCAUUAGAUCCCUCUCCACAGACCCUACUGGGAGCUCGUCAAAAGGAGGGAACCUAUUUAAACGGGUUCAAACCUCAUAGGAAACCACAAAACGACAAGCCACAAACGAGCAAAGUAUGCAGAUAAUGGGAGGAAGAAAAUGAAGCUGGUCUCCGCUGAGAUUUGCCCCGACUUGCAGUUGUCAUCGCUUCAAACUGCUUGGUCAUUACUGCACCACAAGCAGCUCGGCUUAAUGUCUUCUGACUUAACACUAAUGACUGACUCUGCAUCUGUCCCAGCGGGGACGUGCAUCGGCCGGGAAGACUAUGAAAAGUCACUCCAACCCUUAUUUGCAACAAUUAAGGCGGCAAUUUUCAUCAGUUGUGUUAAAGUGUUUCCACAAGGAUGUUUGGGGUUUUCAUAUGGCCGUUUACAAAAGAAAUCAUGCCCUAAAAAGAAGAUGGAAAAGGAGGGGAGGCGACAUGGGCUUCGUCCUCUAUCCGUUUCCUUCCUCUCUUCCCAACACCUCUUUCUCCUCUCUACUUUAUCUCUAUCUUUUUCUCUCCUUCCGUUGGAGUUCUGCUCCUUUUUUCCCCCUAACUCUUUGCACGGCGUUCCAUAAGCCAUGCAUAUUUAACGUAGCUGCAUCUUCAAAGCUAUGAACUUAUUCAUUAGCAUUUAGAGUGCUAAUGAAACCACUCAAAGUGCUAGCCCCCUUGCUGUUUCCCUACACCUCGUCUCAUCCAACGGCGUAGCGACAGCUACAACACCUCUACCAACAACCUCUCUCAGCCG